GACGUAGGGCGCGAGCGUUGUCCGGAUUUAUUGGGCGUAAAGAGCUCGUAGGCGGCUCAUUGCGUCAACCGUGAAAACCAGCAGCUCAACUGUUGGCUUGCGGUUGAUACGGGUGGGCUGGAGUUCGGUAGGGGAGACUGGAAUUCCUGGUGUAGCGGUGAAAUGCGCAGAUAUCAGGAGGGACACCGGUGGCGAAGGCGGGUCUCUGGGCCGAUACUGACGCUGAGGAGCGAAAGCGUGGGGAGCGAACAGG
RNAcentral lists this ribosomal RNA (253 nucleotides) under uncultured bacterium. RNAcentral describes it as "partial 16S ribosomal RNA". It matches the Rfam family "Bacterial small subunit ribosomal RNA", at positions 524 to 776 of the family's 1533-position model. The record is from RNAcentral.